UGGGCAUUUGCUCUGGAGGUGAACCUGGAA
This 30-nucleotide non-coding RNA is filed under the name Homo sapiens (human). Lineage: Eukaryota; Metazoa; Chordata; Mammalia; Primates; Hominidae. The record is from RNAcentral.